UAGCAGCAUGUUCUCUCCCUCUCUCCCCUCUCUACCUCUGACACACUCACUCCCGCUCACCGUUACUCUUCCUCAGUCAAAGACGGGAUUGUCAGAAAGCAGCCGUAGCUAACUGUAAUCCCCUUUUACCAUCAGUACUCUGAGGCUUUGUUUCUCGUGUUAAUUUUUUUUCUUCUUGAAAUUGGAUUCUGUUGCUGCCGAUGUCACAGCUGACAAUCAAGUGUUUGGAUGCUCUAGAGGUGCGGAGGAAUUGAAGAGAACUUUGAAUGAAUGGAUUUUUGACUGACUAAUCAAACAAUGGAGUGGCAUUGGUUGUGAUAUAUGACUCAUUUAGGUUAUUUCUCCACCUGAAGACUGCUGCAAUCCUUUUUUUCCACCUGCAUAUUUCUUCUCUGAGUUGCUUGACUGGAAAUGUGCUAACUUUUUUUAUGGAGAUUUUUGCUUUGAAUGCAUGUUGAGAGGACCAAAGUUAAAUAAAGCAGGGCAGAUGGAACCUCAGUUGACUGAGUCUUGAAUCUUUUGUCCAAGAAGUAACCCAGGCAUGACAACAGUGUCCAUGGAGCCCGUUGGAGUUUUGGUGGACAGGAGCACCAAUGCAACCGUCCCACCUCUGAGCUCACAUCAGGAUGCAGCUGCUACCUUUACCAUAGGAACCAUCCUCUCCAUCAUGUGCCUCGUUGGAGUCUCAGGGAACAUCUACACCCUGGUAGUCAUGUGCCACUCCAUGAGGACUGCAGCCUCGAUGUACAUCUACAUAAUUAAUCUCGCACUGGCUGAUCUACUUUAUCUUCUCACUAUCCCGUUUGUGGUUUGCACGUACUUCUUAAAGGGGUGGUACUUUGGAGAUACAGGAUGUCGAAUACUUUUCAGCAUUGACUUUCUGACGAUGCACGCCAGCAUCUUCACACUGACCAUCAUGAGCACAGAGCGUUACUUUGCAGUUCUCAAGCCGCUUGACACAGUCAAGCGAUCAAAAAGUUAUCGGAAGGCUAUUGCGCUGCUGGUCUGGGCAGCCUCUCUAAUUCUUACCUUACCAAUGAUUGUGAGCAUCCAACUAAUGACAAUGGGCACCAAGGCUAUGUGUCAGCCAACUUUAUCACCACUGUCCUACAAGAUUUACAUCUCAUUCCUGUUUUGCACAAGCAUUGUUGCUCCAGGACUGAUCAUUGGCUAUCUGUACAUCCAGCUAGCACGCACCUACUGGAUUUCACAAACGGAAAGCUUCAAGCAGACCAAGAAACUACCUAACCAAAAGGUGCUGUACCUGAUUUUCACCAUUGUGCUCCUCUUCUGGGCAUGCUUCCUGCCUUUUUGGAUCUGGCACCUGCUUGGACAGUUCUACCCCUCAUUGCCUCUCUCCACCAAAGCUAAACGCAACAUUAACUACCUGACAACAUGCCUCACUUACUCCAACAGCUGUAUAAACCCUUUUCUCUACACACUUCUCACUAAAAACUACAAAGAGUACCUGAGGAAGCACAAAAGGUCCUGGUCAGCUGGCAGCUACUUCAAUCGGCGAAAUCGUUUUCAACGGUCGCCACGCAGAUCGCCAUCUGCCAGCAGUCAGCAGUGUACGGAGAGCUUCAUGCUAACACACACAGCUUCUCUACGAGCUCAUAAUACCAGCUUGUAAGGUGGGCGUGUCUGGAAGUGGGGAAGCUGCAGGUCAUCUGCUCAUCAGCCGGCCAGGGAUACUUAAGCACCUGAGAGACGCCUUCACUUCGCUGGAUGAUUAACUCGAUUUAUCACCAAACAGCCAAUUCAGAGAACUAGCUUUUGAGCUUUUCCGCCUUUUUGAGUAUUUUGAUACGAGCUAUAGAUUUUGUAUGUUUGACCUCCUGUUCACCAUCUCUGCAGAAAUCACUCCACUUCCCCCUCAGACAGACAGCAACCUGGAACUCCUCGUCACCCCACUCAUCUCUCGGUACGUUCCUGGUCUCCCUACUCCCGACAGCCCACCUAAACCCACCCAGAUCUACACCAACCUCCAUGCUCAGCUCCCUCCACCUAAAACGCUCAGGAACCCUGCCGCAAGUAACACCAAGCCGAGGAGGAGAAAGGACGAAGAGGAGACGUAGGAAAGACAAGAAUCAUCUAGAGACACAACUGAAAGAAGAUCACGACUACUUGCGUCAGCAAUAGCAACAGAAGUCCCUUUAUCUUUUUCAGAGUGCACGGCAACAGGAACCGCAGAAGCGGUUUUAGACUGUAUGAAACAGACAUUUCCCCAUCCUUUAGGACUUCUGAUGGCAUGAAAUCAAACUUCAGCAUCUGACGUCUUUAUCCUUCACAUUCAUCCCCUUUCACCCUGUGUAGCAGUAGGUCAACAAGCAUGCAGUUUACUGAAACAGUUUCUAGGAAUGAUACCAAUGAAGUACAAGAGAAAAAAAUAGACAUUAGCUUUUGCACAAGAACGCCUCUCACUCAGUUUCACUAUUAAUACUUUAAGAAAAAUAUUUUUCUCCAAAGAUUAUUUAUGUUGGAGUCAGCUGCAACAGAAAGAUCUCACAUUGAAACAAGCAGUGAAAUAUUUAUUUUAACUCAACAAAUGAAGGGAUACAUUCUUUGCUCAUAUCUGGGAAAGCUUGUUUGUUUGUUAUAUAAGCAGCAGAACCCUCUGAAACGUUACCAAAGCCAGGAUGUAUUCUCCAGUUCCUGUCAGAGAGCUCAUCGUUUGCUUCCAGGGAGCCAAACUUCCUUUAAUCAGAUGAAGCAGGACUGAGCAGUAGUUUUUAAAAGUCAAUUUGAAAUUUGGAGUUGCGUGUAUCCAAAAAUCAAAACAAGGUGAAAACCUUAUCAGAUGGGCUGAGACCAGCAUUUGUAGGCUCCACAUAAUAGAGUUGUUGAUGAACCUUCACACAGAUGUUAGCUGUAUUAACAGACUAUGUAAGGUGCAGGCCCAACUACUGACCAGAACCAAGGUUCCUCUGAUUGUGGAGAUGUCAGUGGGUGAUGAUCCACCACCUUCGCUACUCUUCCACAGUGAUGCCUACUGUAGGUUGGUUUGCCAUCAUGUAGAUGUCGAGGCAAAAACAAACAAAUUAAUUAAAAUAUAAUAAUAAUAAUAAUUAAAGCCUGUCAAAGUCCAAAGAAAUAAGAACACCCUUCAGGUAGUUGAAAUUACUUUUGAUAAAGACCAAUAAAACAGUUCGUUUUGAAGACAACUACAAAAAAUUAGGGAUGAAACAAAAUUUUUGCACAGCACCUUUCCUGCAGCAGAAAGACAGCAAUGUGUUAAUCUGACAGAAACUGGUCUAAACUGGUCUUUUAAUGACUCCAAUCCAAAAAAAAAAAACAAAGAUUAUUUAUUCCUGGAUUGUCGAGCUAACAACCAGUUAGCUCAGUGUGGGUUUAAGCCACAAUGAAACUACUUUAACCUAUACACAAUUUUAUUUAUUAUUAUUAUUAUUAUUAUUAUUAUUAUUAUUAUUAUUAUUAUUAUUAUUAUUUAUUAUUAUUUUAUAAACCUUUAAAGCCUUCCAUGAAUAAGCAUGACAGUUAUUACAGAUAUGUUGCAGCAAAUAUUAGCAGUGAAACUAGCCAACUGUAGCACGUCCCCAGCAAGUAAAAUGUCAAGUAGACUUUUAAAAAUGUUGAGUUGUUUUCUAACGCCCACUUUGAAACCAAGGCUAGCGGUUAGCUCCUCAAUCAGAUAACCUGAUGUCAUUGUUACUUCUCUAAACUGAGGUUGUUCAAAAAGCCUCCAACAGGCCGGAGAUGAUGUGUUCCAAGUUGAUGAAACUUAAAGAUCUGAACUAUCCCUCUGAGCUGUUUGGGAACAAAAUUUCUAAUUUUAGGAAAAUCAGAAUAAAGUUGAAAAUAGAAAGAAAUCUAUUGCUUGUUUUUGUCUGAACAAAAACAUCAAAAACCUGCUUUAAUACAAAUGAUAAUAAUAAAUAAAAUUCUUCCCCAGUACCAGCGGGUUGUUACUGAUGUAGCUGUGAUACCUCUGCAUGUCUGUGCUGCUGUUAGCGCUACAGUGAUGGGUUUUUAAUUUCAGCAAUAUCUGUUAAGAGAAAGCUCCUUCUGUGCGACUUCUCUCAGGUUAGCUCCACGACUUUUGAUGCCUUUCAUGCCAGGACUGUUUGAUCAUCACAGCAACAAUUUUGAUAAUAAAAGGAGGAUAAGAUCGCUGUAGCUAAAAGCUGAGACACCUUUAUUGAUUUUAUUCCCAGUGCAACAAGACAAGCUGCAGUCACUAAGCUGACAUAUCUUCUGAAGCUAUCUUGUUCACAGAUUUUGGGUUUGUUUUGUACGCAGGAGCUUCAAAGUGAAAUAAAUCUACACACACAUCACAAAGGGGAUCUGAAGUCGGCUUUUGUAGUUGAAUGAUGAACAGAUGAAAGUAAGAAACCAGCGCUUGCAAUGCCUCGUUGUAGUGUGACGGGGUCAGAUUCUGCACCUUAAGACCGAAUCCUGUGCUUGGUCAAGGUUGGGUCACCGAGGUAACAGGUUCUGCACAAAAACCCAGACAUUCGUGAUAACUGGGUUGCUGCUGUUUUUGAAGUUGUCAAGAGCACUUGGCAAGCUGCCUAACUCCGACGACGGGACGUGUUGUGAACGCUCAGACUCAUGCAUUGCACAAACUAAACUGUGAGCUAGAUGCUCUGAGCUGCAAACAGGCUGCUAAACUCAUCAACGGAGGGAGGAACCACUUGGAGUAGUUCUUAGCUCGGCUUGGUGGAAACUGACCCAGUUUCAGUUGAUUGGAGUCCCCCUUGAGACCGCGGAGAGACAUAAGGCAGAGCCACUAGCUCUAGCCUGUACCAAAACAAAUUGUUAAAUCUGGCUCCCCCACGUUGGCCUGAAGGCUGAAGAUCUCUAAACUCCCAUAGAUGUUUAUGCAGACUGAUGCUCUGCCCCUCCCUCCCCUGUUCCUCUCAUGGGCUUGUGAGCUCCUUGGAUCAGCUCGCCGACAGGUCGUAUCACGACAUCUUAGACGACAGACACUGACUAAACAGGGAGCGUGUUCACGGACUCACCUACAUACUGAUGCACACACAUACUCAAAUAAUUGAGAACCAUUGUUCUAGUGGAAGCUGUCUAGGAAACCUUCAAGGAAUGGCCACCAAGCAGCUGAAUCCAAUGCCGCCACCAACUCAACGACCUUCAUUUGAAGAGGAAGAGCAGAGAUGAUGAAGCUCCUCACCUCUGGAUUACGGAGUCUGGCCAACCUUCAGAGAAUGCACAUUUCAGCCACCUGGUCUUCCAGUCACACACACACACACACACACACACACACACACACACACACACACACACACACACACACAUCCUCUUCACAUCCAAAAAAUUGAUGUAUGGCUGGAUUAUGAAUUAAAGCAUUUAUUUGCCCCAGAUGGAUCUGUUCGUAACUCUAGAGCUCUGACGGGUUGUUUUUUUUCCUGCUAUUUAUUAAAGAAUGAGUUUUGGAAGACAGUGUUGAUUUUUUCGCUUUACCUAUCAAAAUGUGUAAACUCCAGGAAGUCGAGAGAACAUUUUGUUGUCUGCAUCACAUUCAAAAAUAAAAUGUGCCGUUUUCCCAAGUUGUGCAUUAUUAUUAAUGCAUGCCCUGCACUUUUCUUUUGUUAUUACUAACAAGCAUAUUCAAUCAGAAGCCCAUUGUCUGUCUUCACUGCAGACUCUAAUUAAGAAAACGGGUGCUGAACUUCAGUGUUCUGUGGCACCAAGUCUGCAAAACUCACCACCAUAAGCAUAUAUGUUUGUCCUGACUCCGCUUCUGCUAGAGCAUCAUCAGUCUGCCUUAAAUAAGGAAUGAUGAAUGAAUAAUGGAUUAUGUUACUGCUCAGCCUGUGAAAAGAACCUUCCAGAAAAGAGAAAUAAUAGUUUUUCUGUUAUCUCUGGUUAGUGUUGGAUAAUUCAAAGUCUGCAUGGGAUUUCUGAUGAGUCAGUAUGUUUGUAUGUUGGAAUUUGUUACAAAGCCAAAGAAAUUCAGACAUUAACAUUUAAGGAACCAGGUCCUUAUUUAUAACUUGCUUACACCAAAAAAAAAACGGAUCUAAAACUCAUGUAAGUCACUUAGGCAGACUCUGUGGUAGGUUCUUGUCCUGGCUUUCGGCUGGAGCUAGGCAGAAGUUAUGGUUCCUGUUUAUUUUAAAAACGUGUUCAUUUAAAAUUUUCAUCUUAUUUAACUACUUUGACAAUACUGUUCUGGUCUCACUUCAACGUUCCCAGAACUCAGAUUUCAUUUGUGAUUCCUCGUUUUCAAAAGGAGUCAGGGGAGCUGGCUUUUUCCAUCAAAGCUCCAUUCUACUUGCAACUAUUUACCUGCUGAUUUAAGGUCUAUUACAUCUUAUCUUCAGUUUAGAACAUUGGUUUACCUUCAUUUCUAUACAUGUCUCUGCAUGUCGGUCAGGCCACACUCCACUGAAGCCUCAGCAGUGGUGUGCCUAGCCAAUCAAAGCACUCUAUCGGUUUGGAGGGUGGGAUGAUGCGAUAAGAGUGAAAAAAAAAUGGCGUUGGCUCGUUUGAAACAGAUUUGGCGUCAACGUUGGACUAUUUAGACUUGGGCUUUUCUUUGACUCUAGAGCAGCUGAAGGUACUUAAGACCUGUCAUGUUCUGAGGUAUGUGCUUAACCCAAGACAUGCAGAAUCAGAGACCGGAGACAAGUUGGAUAGUAAAAGGUAAAAUGAUAUUUAUUAAACGGGAAAACUAAGGGCGCACUGAAGUCCAGCGGGUUGCAGAAUCCGGAACCGGCGUCUACAGGAAAACAGAGGUGAGUCUGGUGUUUAUAGUUCCGGGAGUCUUUGAUUUGUAGUCUGACUUACUGUGCGGAAGUGAAGUUGUUGUUAGGAGGGGAGUGAGCCGUGGUGAUAUCCAAGAUGAGGAAGCGGUCCAAGAUUAAGGUGAGUAGGAGAAUGAGCGAGGAUAUUGAUCCGGAGAGGGAGCGUGAGCAAGGUGGAGAGCGGGUCGGCAGGUGGAGGAGAUACAGGAACGAACCAGAGAUUUCCUUCCAGGGGCAGAGCACGUAAUCCAGGAAUAGGAACCUGAGGUAGGUAUCAAACAUUAAUGAGCGAAUAUUCCAAAAAUUCAAAGUUCAAAUAUAAAGGAGCAAACAGAGGGGAAAAACUCGGAGGCAAGCGACUACCAGUAAACGGCAAUCAUCCGGCGUCGUAAUCUGGUCCUCCUCCUCCUUAUAUAGCCGGCCCGCUGACGAGAAACAGCUGUAGCUCCCUCUCCUGUAAUCAGAGCUCAAAGGUGGUGAAUGAUGUGACGAGUACUCACCCCGGCUCAUGGCAAGACCUUUAUUUAGAAAAAUGACGUAUUUGCAUUUUCUUCUGCGGAGACAACUUGAAAAAGAACUGUAGAUUCCACCUCAUGACUGGGAUUUGUUCGUGAGUCUUGGCCAGACUUUAUAUUCUAGUGUUGCCAACCCGGGGCGAUUCUAGCUUCAGACGUUUAGGGGUGCUGGGCAUCCAGCAAAUUGCCCGUCCAGGCAAGAUUAGUUUCACAGUUUGUGCAUUUGAACGCAAAUUUCAUUCCCAAAUUUGCUAAUUAGAAGCUAAGCAGUGUUUUCCACAAAUCCAGAACAUUUUCACAAAUCACAAACAAUGCUUUACGGAUUGUGUUUUACAAUAAUCUAGUCCAGGUUCAUAGGCUCUUGGUCAGUGAUCCCCAACUCCCUUCCCCGACGGCAGGUAUCCAGCAUGAUUUGCUGUUUUUCCUGCUUCAACACACUUGAUUUUAAUCAGCAGGUGAAUAGCAAGCCUCUGCAGAGCCCGAUGAGCUGCUGAACAGGUGAAUCAAUUGUGUUGGAUAAAAGAAUCCAAUCCAAUACAGUUUUAUUUAUAAAGCACUUUAAAAGACCCAGCACAGGAACAAAGUGUUGUACAGAAAAUCCAUUAAAACAAUUGACUAAACAGAAAACAGCAAAGAUAAAUAAAACACAUGAUACAUAAAAUUAAAAUAGCCCUAUAUUAAAAAAUAAAAACUUGAUAAAACCGCAUUGAAUCACCUAAAACAGCUAAAAUAAAAUAAAAACUAGAAACCAACAUCUCACAAGGUAUCAAAAGCCAGGGUAAAGAGGUGGGUUUUCAGGAGUGCCUUAAAAACAGAUAAGGAACUGGUCUGUCUUAUCUCUAAAGGAAGUUCGUUCCACAGUUUUGGAGCUGCAACAGCAAAAGCGCGAUCUCCUCUAAAUUUACGCUCAGUCCUGGGUACAAUCAGGAGCAAGUAUAAAACUUGCUGGAUAUUAGCCCUCUGGGAAGGGAGCUGGGGAUACUAGUGUUGUAGUUUUUAAGCUAGACCAGUUCCUUUGUAGCCCAGAUGCAAGACAAACAGACCUAAAUAAUGGUCUCCUUGAGAUAAAAUCAUUCUUCUCAUCAAACUUCCUGAAACUUCUUGAAACUCAACAGCAAUAAAACUGAAAAUCCACGCGUAGGGAAACCCUCCACUCUGAACAAAUCUCCCAGCAUAUCCGUUAACAGACAAUUCCUCCAUCCUUCCUUCCCCCCAUGUAAAAAGUCUUGUUGUCAUUCUUGGCAGCACUCUAAAGCCCACAUCAACAUCAUCAUUCGCUCAGCCUACUUUCAUUUAUGCAACAUCAACCUACUCCGCCCCUCUCUCACUCCUCGUGCAACAGCCAUCCUCGUACACAGCCUAGUCACUUCUAGGAGUGACUACUGAAACUCUCUCCUUUUUGGCCUCCCCCAUAAAUCCCUUCAUCGGCUCCAACUCCUCCAAAAUGCUGCUGCACACAUCAACCCUGUUCUUCAGCGUCUCCACUGGCUGCUGACCACAGAAUCUCCUUCAAAAUCCUGCUUCUCACCUACAAAUCCACUGUCUCGCCCCUCCUUACCUCUCCACUCUCAUCCAUGUUGCUGUCCCAUCUCGCUCCCUCAGGUCUUCCUCUGCCAUUCACCUUGUGGUUCCUCCUGUUCGUCUCACCACUGUUGGAAACAGCUUUCUGUCGAGCUCCUCGGCUCUGGAACUCACUUCCUCCUGACAUCCGAAACACAGACUCCCUCCUUUCAUUCAAAUUUAAACUCAAAACUCACCUGUUCAAGCUGGCUUACACUGUCUAGUCCACAAACUCUCCACCCUGCAAUUUAUAGUAUAUUCUU
Nothobranchius furzeri (turquoise killifish) is the source of this 9063-nucleotide RNA transcript. It is a transcript of the gene named urotensin-2 receptor, with no coding region annotated. Lineage: Eukaryota; Metazoa; Chordata; Actinopteri; Cyprinodontiformes; Nothobranchiidae. The record is from RefSeq and is a predicted model, not a curated record.